CCUACGGGGGGCAGCAGUGGGGAAUAUUGGACAAUGGGCGAAAGCCUGAUCCAGCCAUGCCGCGUGUGUGAAGAAGGCCUUCGGGUUGUAAAGCACUUUCAGUGGGGAAGAAAGCCUUGGGGCUAAUACCCUCGAGGAAGGACAUCACCCACAGAAGAAGCACCGGCUAACUCCGUGCCAGCAGCCGCGGUAAUACGGAGGGUGCGAGCGUUAAUCGGAAUUACUGGGCGUAAAGCGCGCGUAGGCGGUCUGAUAAGCCGGUUGUGAAAGCCCCGGGCUCAUCCUGGGAACGGCAUCCGGAACUGUCAGGCUAGAGUGCAGGAGAGGAAGGUAGAAUUCCCGGUGUAGCGGUGAAAUGCGUAGAGAUCGGGAGGAAUACCAGUGGCGAAGGCGGCCUUCUGGACUGACACUGACGCUGAGGUGCGAAAGCGUGGGUAGCAAACAGGAUUAGAUACCCUAGUAGUC
This 465-nucleotide ribosomal RNA is filed under the name Vreelandella stevensii. RNAcentral describes it as "partial 16S ribosomal RNA". It matches the Rfam family "Bacterial small subunit ribosomal RNA", at positions 338 to 795 of the family's 1533-position model. The record is from RNAcentral. Lineage: Bacteria; Pseudomonadati; Pseudomonadota; Gammaproteobacteria; Oceanospirillales; Halomonadaceae.